This 498-nucleotide ribosomal RNA is filed under the name uncultured bacterium. RNAcentral's name for it is "partial 16S ribosomal RNA". It matches the Rfam family "Bacterial small subunit ribosomal RNA", at positions 28 to 523 of the family's 1533-position model. The record is from RNAcentral.
GAUGAACGCUGGCGGCGUGCCUAAUACAUGCAAGUCGAACGCUUCACUUCGGUGAAGAGUGGCGAACGGGUGAGUAAUACAUAAGUAACCUGGCAUCUACAGGGGGAUAACUGAUGGAAACGUCAGCUAAGACCGCAUAGGUGUAGAGAUCGCAUGAACUCUAUAUGAAAAGUGCUACGGGACUGGUAGAUGAUGGACUUAUGGCGCAUUAGCUGGUUGGUAGGGUAACGGCCUACCAAGGCGACGAUGCGUAGCCGACCUGAGAGGGUGACCAGGCACACGAGGACUGAGACACAGCCCAGACUCCUACGGGAGGAAGCGGUAUGGAAUUUUCGGCAAUGGGGGAAAACCUGACCGAGCAACGCCGCGUGAAGGAAGAAGUAAUUCGUUAUGUAAACUUCUUUCAUAGAGGAAUAACGGUGGAUAUAGGGAAUGGUAUCCAAGUGACGGUACUCUAUAAGAAAGCCACGGCUAACUACGUGCCAGCAGCCGCCGUAA